UUAUUGUGGUAAAAUAUACAUCGUUAAAAUGUGCUGCACUGGCCACUUUUAAGUGUGCAGUUUGGAGGUGUUAAGCGCUUUCUGUUAUGUUGUUAGCACCAUCAUGCCUGCUCUUUGAGUGUGGCGUCUUGUGGUGAGCAUGCCUUGUUCAGUCCUGGCUGUACCUGUGGUUUCUCUCUUCGGUGGUGACUUCAUGUGUACAACAGAAGCUUUUGUGUUCCCAUUCCCUUGUCUGUAAGUGGAUGAGUGUUUAUAGAAUUUGUAUCUCAUAGAGCUGCUCAAUAGGAAGCCCACAGAGCGGGGAGUUCUCUGAGAAUGAUGUUAAAGCCAGGGUUGCUGCAUGGCUGUGGCUGCAGUUCACAGCCAUGCUAGUUGGAUGAUGGACACCUAUUCCAGGGAAGUCCCUGGGAGUGAAGGACAUCUACUGUCCUUAAGCUGUCAUGUGGUGGUCGUCCAGAUGCAGGGGUCAGAUUUUUAAAAAGUCAGCUUUGUCAUAAACCUGCUUGCCUUCCAGAGUGACACUCAAUGCAGUUUUAGAGUUACAGUAUUGAGGUCAUCAUAGCAUCCAAAACACACUUAUGAGUUUGAAGAAAAUGCUUAAAAAUUAGUAUGAAUUGGAUUGUUAAAGACUAAAUCUUUGCUACCACUGGUCUUAAUGUAUCAUUUUCAGUUUAUUGGCAUAUAACAAUGAGGUCAAGGGGAAUACAAAUUAGGUUUUGAUGAUUGAAGAAUCGGAAAAUAAUAUGUAUGUGAAGUAGGUGUAACUGAGCUUAAGAAAUUUGGUACAGAGUUAAAGAAGUAAGAUUCUUUCCCCAGAUACAUAGAGGGUGCUUGAAUAGAGGUGGUAACGGCAUUGUGUUUUCUUUCAUCCACCUGCUAUGCUUUUGCUAAAUGAGAGGUCUGCAUUGUGGACUCAUUGGGACUAGACUGAGUCAGAUACCUUGGAGGAUGGUAAGGCUGAGGUUUGUAGUUUCUAACCAUGACCGUGUCUACUUUUUAUCUGUUAGACUACACAUAAGGCCUGAAUAGGUGUCUUCCACAGCUGAAUCUGCUACUAACUGCAAAGAAGCCAUUCUCCAUCUGGGAUUUUAGCAAAUCCAGAAGCUUCGCUUUGAAUCCAUUGUUAAUUAUAUGUUUUGAGCAAGUUGUUUCACUUAUCCAAAAUCCUGUGGUUUUUUUUUCCCCUCUUUAAAAUAAGGGUAAUAAUAGCCCACCUUUAGAGUGACAGUUGAGGCCUGAAGGAGGGCCAUGUAUAUGAUAUUUAAAGGUGUCAUCAGUCCAUCCUGGUAGCUUUGGAUAUUGACGUCGUGUGGCCUUCCAAAAAGUUCUCUGGUGCAGUCUCCUACUUCUUUUAUCCCUUUUGUGUUACACCCUUGGGGUUCCCCACCAAACUCUUCCCCUAUUUUUGCUUAUCUUCUUUCCUGGCCAAACCAUUUUGCACUUAAAUCCUUUUUUGGCUCCAUGACUCUAAGAUGGUUGUUAAUUUGACUAUUGCUUAGCAUAAUCCAUUGAAAGAUGUAAGAGUUUUAUUCCCCUUCUCCUAAGAUGGUAUUUACAGUUUAAAGAAAGAAUUUUCCUAAUAAAAUGAAUUUCUCAUUUGUGAGACCUGUAGUCAGGUAUAUCUUAGGUCAAUGAGUAUUUAUUUAGUGUGUGUGACUCCAUGCUUAGCACUAUGUUUGGCUCUGAGGAAUGACAAAGAAUACCUACUUCAAAAUGAGUGACAGACAUUGGGCCCACCUGUGAGGUGGGUGCUGGGUUCAUGAGCCCCAGUGGUGGAGGGAGGGUUGGGCAGGGCCCGGGUCACCUGACCCAGGUCUUUGGGCCCACCUGUGCAGUGGGUACUGAACCCAUGAGCCCACGGGACAGAGGUCUGAUGGAACCCAGGUUGCCUGGCCCGGGUCCAUGGGCCCAUCUGUGAGAACUGGUCCUCCUCAGUGUAAAGGAUGGAGAAGUGGAUAGCAGGCCUUGGUGUACAUAGAGGACAUGGUAGUCCAUCGGGGCCUGCAGAGGACAUCUGGUACCAUAGCAGAGAAUGGAGAACAGAA
Long non-coding RNA from Ochotona curzoniae (black-lipped pika), 2045 nucleotides. RefSeq lists it as uncharacterized. NCBI's taxonomy places the organism in Eukaryota, Metazoa, Chordata, Mammalia, Lagomorpha, Ochotonidae. The transcript has 2 exons. The record is from RefSeq and is a predicted model, not a curated record.